GAGUAGGGCGGGACACGUGGUAUCCUGUCUGAAUAUGGGGGGACCAUCCUCCAAGGCUAAAUACUCCUGACUGACCGAUAGUGAACCAGUACCGUGAGGGAAAGGCGAAAAGAACCCCGGCGAGGGGAGUGAAAAAGAACCUGAAACCGUGUACGUACAAGCAGUGGGAGCACCUUCGGGUGUGACUGCGUACCUUUUGUAUAAUGGGUCAGCGACUUAUAUUCUGUAGCAAGGUUAACCGUAUAGGGGAGCCGCAGGGAAACCGAGUCUUAACUGGGCGUUAAGUUGCAGGGUAUAGACCCGAAACCCGGUGAUCUAGCCAUGGGCAGGUUGAAGGUUGGGUAACACUAACUGGAGGACCGAACCGACUAAUGUUGAAAAAUUAGCGGAUGACUUGUGGCUGGGGGUGAAAGGCCAAUCAAACCGGGAGAUAGCUGGUUCUCCCCGAAAGCUAUUUAGGUAGCGCCUCGUGAAUUCAUCUUCGGGGGUAGAGCACUGUUUCGGCUAGGGGGUCAUCCCGACUUACCAACCCGAUGCAAACUACGAAUACCGAAGAAUGUUAUCACGGGAGACACACGGCGGGUGCUAACGUCCGUCGUGAAGAGGGAAACAACCCAGACCGCCAGCUAAGGUCCCAAAGUCAUGGUUAAGUGGGAAACGAUGUGGGAAGGCACAGACAGCCAGGAUGUUGGCUUAGAAGCAGCCAUCAUUUAAAGAAAGCGUAAUAGCUCACUGGUCGAGUCGGCCUGCGCGGAAGAUGUAACGGGGCUAAACCAUGCACCGAAGCUGCGGCAGCGACACUAUGUGUUGUUGGGUAGGGGAGCGUUCUGUAAGCCUGCGAAGGUGUGCUGUGAGGCAUGCUGGAGGUAUCAGAAGUGCGAAUGCUGACAUAAGUAACGAUAAAGCGGGUGAAAAGCCCGCUCGCCGGAAGACCAAGGGUUCCUGUCCAACGUUAAUCGGGGCAGGGUGAGUCGACCCCUAAGGCGAGGCCGAAAGGCGUAGUCGAUGGGAAACAGGUUAAUAUUCCUGUACUUGGUGUUACUGCGAAGGGGGGACGGAGAAGGCUAUGUUAGCCGGGCGACGGUUGUCCCGGUUUAAGCAUGUAGGCUGGUURUCCAGGCAAAUCCGGAUAAUCAAGGCUGAGGUGUGAUGACGAGGCACUACGGUGCUGAAGUAACAAAUGCCCUGCUUCCAGGAAAAGCCUCUAAGCAUCAGGUAACAUCAAAUCGUACCCCAAACCGACACAGGUGGUCAGGUAGAGAAUACCAAGGCGCUUGAGAGAACUCGGGUGAAGGAACUAGGCAAAAUGGUGCCGUAACUUCGGGAGAAGGCACGCUGGUGUGUAGGUGAAGUCCCUGCGGAUGGAGCUGAGACCAGUCGAAGAUACCAGCUGGCUGCAACUGUUUAUUAAAAACACAGCACUGUGCAAACACGAAAGUGGACGUAUACGGUGUGACGCCUGCCCGGUGCCGGAAGGUUAAUUGAUGGGGUUAUCCGUAAGGAGAAGCUCUUGAUCGAAGCCCCGGUAAACGGCGGCCGUAACUAUAACGGUCCUAAGGUAGCGAAAUUCCUUGUCGGGUAAGUUCCGACCUGCACGAAUGGCGUAAUGAUGGCCAGGCUGUCUCCACCCGAGACUCAGUGAAAUUGAACUCGCUGUGAAGAUGCAGUGUACCCGCGGCAAGACGGAAAGACCCCGUGAACCUUUACUAUAGCUUGACACUGAACAUUGAGCCUUGAUGUGUAGGAUAGGUGGGAGGCUUUGAAGCGUGGACGCCAGUCUGCGUGGAGCCAACCUUGAAAUACCACCCUUUAAUGUUUGAUGUUCUAACGUUGGCCCCUKACCGGGGUUGCGGACAGUGUCUGGUGGGUAGUUUGACUGGGGCGGUCUCCUCCCAAAGCGUAACGGAGGAGCACGAAGGUUAGCUAAUCCUGGUCGGACAUCAGGAGGUUAGUGCAAUGGCAUAAGCUAGCUUGACUGCGAGCGUGACGGCGCGAGCAGGUGCGAAAGCAGGU
This 2013-nucleotide ribosomal RNA is filed under the name Klebsiella pneumoniae. Its description in RNAcentral is "partial 23S ribosomal RNA". The record is from RNAcentral. Lineage: Bacteria; Pseudomonadati; Pseudomonadota; Gammaproteobacteria; Enterobacterales; Enterobacteriaceae.